RNAcentral lists this ribosomal RNA (1346 nucleotides) under uncultured bacterium. Its description in RNAcentral is "partial 16S ribosomal RNA". It matches the Rfam family "Bacterial small subunit ribosomal RNA", at positions 28 to 1381 of the family's 1533-position model. The record is from RNAcentral.
GACGAACGCUGGCGGCGUGCUUAACACAUGCAAGUCGAACGGAAAGGCCCUGCUUUUGUGGGGUGCUCGAGUGGCGAACGGGUGAGUAACACGUGAGUAACCUGCCCUUGACUUUGGGAUAACUUCAGGAAACUGGGGCUAAUACCGGAUAGGAGCUCCUGCUGCAUGGUGGGGGUUGGAAAGUUUCGGCGGUUGGGGAUGGACUCGCGGCUUAUCAGCUUGUUGGUGGGGUAGUGGCUUACCAAGGCUUUGACGGGUAGCCGGCCUGAGAGGGUGACCGGCCACAUUGGGACUGAGAUACGGCCCAGACUCCUACGGGAGGCAGCAGUGGGGAAUAUUGCACAAUGGGCGGAAGCCUGAUGCAGCAACGCCGCGUGCGGGAUGACGGCCUUCGGGUUGUAAACCGCUUUCGCCUGUGACGAAGCGUGAGUGACGGUAAUGGGUAAAGAAGCACCGGCUAACUACGUGCCAGCAGCCGCGGUGAUACGUAGGGUGCGAGCGUUGUCCGGAUUUAUUGGGCGUAAAGGGCUCGUAGGUGGUUGAUCGCGUCGGAAGUGUAAUCUUGGGGCUUAACCCUGAGCGUGCUUUCGAUACGGGUUGACUUGAGGAAGGUAGGGGAGAAUGGAAUUCCUGGUGGAGCGGUGGAAUGCGCAGAUAUCAGGAGGAACACCAGUGGCGAAGGCGGUUCUCUGGGCCUUUCCUGACGCUGAGGAGCGAAAGCGUGGGGAGCGAACAGGCUUAGAUACCCUGGUAGUCCACGCUGUAAACGGUGGGUACUAGGUGUGGGGUCCAUUCCACGGGUUCCGUGCCGUAGCUAACGCUUUAAGUACCCCGCCUGGGGAGUACGGCCGCAAGGCUAAAACUCAAAGGAAUUGACGGGGCCCCGCACAAGCGGCGGAGCAUGCGGAUUAAUUCGAUGCAACGCGUAGAACCUUACCUGGGUUUGACAUGGAUCGGGAGUGCUCAGAGAUGGGUGUGCCUCUUUUGGGGUCGGUUCACAGGUGGUGCAUGGCUGUCGUCAGCUUGUGUCGUGAGAUGUUGGGUUAAGUCCCGCAACGAGCGCAACCCUUGUUCACUGUUGCCAGCACGUUAUGGUGGGGACUCAGUGGAGACCGCCGGGGUCAACUCGGAGGAAGGUGGGGAUGACGUCAAGUCAUCAUGCCCCUUAUGUCCAGGGCUUCACGCAUGCUACAAUGGCUGGUACAGAGAGUGGCGAGCCUGUGAGGGUGAGCGAAUCUCGGAAAGCCGGUCUCAGUUCGGAUUGGGGUCUGCAACUCGACCUCAUGAAGUCGGAGUCGCUAGUAAUCGCAGAUCAGCAACGCUGCGGUGAAUACGUUCCCGGGGCU